CAGUAGCCACGGUAAUACGUAGGUGGCAAGCGUUAUCCGGAAUUAUUGGGCGUAAAGCGCGCGUAGGCGGUUUUUUAAGUCUGAUGUGAAAGCCCACGGCUCAACCGUGGAGGGUCAUUGGAAACUGGAAAACUUGAGUGCAGAAGAGGAAAGUGGAAUUCCAUGUGUAGCGGUGAAAUGCGCAGAGAUAUGGAGGAACACCAGUGGCGAAGGCGACUUUCUGGUCUGUAACUGACGCUGAUGUGCGAAAGCGUGGGGAUCAAACAGGAUUAGAUACCCCAGUAGUCCCUGUCACUUAUAC
This 301-nucleotide ribosomal RNA is filed under the name uncultured bacterium. RNAcentral describes it as "partial 16S ribosomal RNA". It matches the Rfam family "Bacterial small subunit ribosomal RNA", at positions 509 to 807 of the family's 1533-position model. The record is from RNAcentral.